GAUGAACGCUGGCGGCGUGCCUAAUACAUGCAAGUGGAACGCUGAAGCUUGGUGCUUGCACCGAGCGGAUGAGUUGCAAACGGGUGAGUAACGCGUAGGUAACCUGCCUCUUAGCGGGGGAUAACUAUUGGAAACGAUAGCUAAUACCGCAUAAAAGUUGACAUUGCAUGAUGUUGAUUUGAAAGAUGCAAUUGCAUCACUAAGAGAUGGACCUGCGUUGUAUUAGCUAGUUGGUGAAGUAACGGCUCACCAAGGCGACGAUACAUAGCCGACCUGAGAGGGUGAUCGGCCACACUGGGACUGAGACACGGCACAGACUCCUACGGGAGGCAGCAGUAGGGAAUCUUCGGCAAUGGACGGAAGUCUGACCGAGCAACGCCGCGUGAGUGAAGAAGGUUUUCGGAUCGUAAAGCUCUGUUGUAAGAGAAGAACGAGUGUGAGAGUGGAAAGUUCACACUGUGACGGUAACUUACCAGAAAGGGACGGCUAACUACGUG
Molecule: ribosomal RNA, 497 nt
Filed under: uncultured bacterium
Lineage: Bacteria
Description: partial 16S ribosomal RNA
Rfam family: Bacterial small subunit ribosomal RNA
Source: RNAcentral